Molecule: small RNA, 173 nt
Filed under: Calidris pugnax (ruff)
Lineage: Eukaryota; Metazoa; Chordata; Aves; Charadriiformes; Scolopacidae
Description: TUC338 (ENSCPUG00000005155.1)
Source: RNAcentral
CUGACAUCUCUAGAGGCUGGGGUCUGUUGUUUACACAGAGAAUAAGGACAUCAGAGAGUAAAAAACAGCAGAAGCUUCCCAUGACAACUUGCCUUGAAGCUGUCUUUAAAUGACCAUCUCAAGGGGUGACAGAGCGUUUCAGUUUCUGUGACUCAUUCAAUACUGUGGCUUUC